Molecule: ribosomal RNA, 508 nt
Filed under: uncultured bacterium
Lineage: Bacteria
Description: partial 16S ribosomal RNA
Rfam family: Bacterial small subunit ribosomal RNA
Source: RNAcentral
AUUGAACGCUGGCGGCAUGCCUUACACAUGCAAGUCGAACGGCAGCGGGGGCGAAGCUUGCUUUUCCUGCCGGCGAGUGGCGAACGGGUGAGUAAUACAUCGGAACGUGCCCUGUAGUGGGGGAUAACUAGUCGAAAGAUUAGCUAAUACCGCAUACGACCUGAGGGUGAAAGUGGGGGACCGCAAGGCCUCAUGCUAUAGGAGCGGCCGAUGUCUGAUUAGCUAGUUGGUGGGGUAAAGGCCUACCAAGGCGACGAUCAGUAGCUGGUCUGAGAGGACGAUCAGCCACACUGGGACUGAGACACGGCCCAGACUCCUACGGGAGGCAGCAGUGGGGAAUUUUGGACAAUGGGCGAAAGCCUGAUCCAGCAGUGCCGCGUGUGUGAAGAAGGCCUUCGGGUUGUAAAGCACUUUUGUCCGGAAAGAAAUGGCUCUGGUUAAUACCUGGGGUCGAUGACGGUACCGGAAGAAUAAGGACCGGCUAACUACGUGCCAGCAGCCGCCGUAA